GGUAACGGCUUACCAAGACUUCGAUGAGUAGGGGUCCUGAGAGGGAGAUCCCCCACACUGGUACUGAGACACGGACCAGACUCCUACGGGAGGCAGCAGUGAGGAAUAUUGGACAAUGGACGGAAGUCUGAUCCAGCCAUGCCGCGUGUAGGAAGACUGCCCUAUGGGUUGUAAACUACUUUUAUACAGGAAGAAUAAGAUCUACGUGUAGAUUGAUGACGGUACUGUAAGAAUAAGGACCGGCUAACUCCGUGCCAGCAGCCGCGGUAAUACGGAGGGUCCGAGCGUUAUCCGGAAUUAUUGGGUUUAAAGGGUCCGUAGGCGGGCUGUUAAGUCAGAGGUGAAAUGCUGCGGCUCAACCGUAUGCACUGCCUUUGAUACUGGCGGUCUUGAGUUAUAGUGAAGUGGCUAGAAUAAGUAGUGUAGCGGUGAAAUGCAUAGAUAUUACUUAGAAUACCGAUUGCGAAGGCAGGUCACUAACUAUACACUGACGCUGAUGGACGAAAGCGUGGGUAGCGAACAGGAUUAGAUACCCUGGUAGUCCACGCCGUAAACGAUGGAUACUAGCUGUUCGGUUUUCGGACUGAGCGGCCAAGCGAAAGUGAUAAGUAUCCCACCUGGGGAGUACGUUCGCAAGAAUGAAACUCAAAGGAAUUGACGGGGGCCCGCACAAGCGGUGGAGCAUGUGGUUUAAUUCGAUGAUACGCGAGGAACCUUACCAGGCUUAAAUGUAGAUUGACAGGUUUAGAGAUAGACUUUUCUUCGGACAAUUUACAAGGUGCUGCAUGCUGUCGUCAGCU
RNAcentral lists this ribosomal RNA (800 nucleotides) under Paracellulophaga baltica. Its description in RNAcentral is "Cellulophaga baltica bacterial SSU rRNA". It matches the Rfam family "Bacterial small subunit ribosomal RNA", at positions 256 to 1060 of the family's 1533-position model. Lineage: Bacteria; Pseudomonadati; Bacteroidota; Flavobacteriia; Flavobacteriales; Flavobacteriaceae. The record is from RNAcentral.